Molecule: transfer RNA, 72 nt
Filed under: Gigantactis vanhoeffeni
Lineage: Eukaryota; Metazoa; Chordata; Actinopteri; Lophiiformes; Gigantactinidae
Description: tRNA-Leu
Rfam family: tRNA
About the family: Transfer RNA (tRNA) molecules are approximately 80 nucleotides in length. Their secondary structure includes four short double-helical elements and three loops (D, anti-codon, and T loops). Further hydrogen bonds mediate the characteristic L-shaped molecular structure. tRNAs have two regions of fundamental functional importance: the anti-codon, which is responsible for specific mRNA codon recognition, and the 3' end, to which the tRNAs corresponding amino acid is attached (by aminoacyl-tRNA synthetases). tRNAs cope with the degeneracy of the genetic code in two manners: having more than one tRNA (with a specific anti-codon) for a particular amino acid; and 'wobble' base-pairing, i.e. permitting non-standard base-pairing at the 3rd anti-codon position.
Source: RNAcentral
GCUUCUAAAGGACAGCAGCCGUCCGCUGGUCUUAGGAACCAGAAUCUCUUGGUGCAAAUCCAAGUAGUAGCU